UCCCUGCUGGUCUAGCGGCUAAGGAUCCCAUGCUGGGUUGGUUCCCUGCCUGGGUUCAAUUCCCGGGCAGGGAA
RNAcentral lists this transfer RNA (74 nucleotides) under Pangasius djambal. RNAcentral's name for it is "tRNA-OTHER". Lineage: Eukaryota; Metazoa; Chordata; Actinopteri; Siluriformes; Pangasiidae. The record is from RNAcentral.